UGGAGAGCUGUGCUCGUGCACGAUUUAGUUGCUGCUGCCCUGGAAAUCUGCCCGUGCUCAGGUGGAGGAGGAACCAGGGAGCCGGCCCGGUCUCGGAAUCUGGAAUUUUCUGAAGGAGAUCCAAGCCACCCCCAAAAGAUCAAUGGAGGGUGAUUUGACCAAGAUCUCCAAUUGAAUGAUGCUGCUUAACUUGGAAAAGCCUUGUUUGAGAAAGUAUGCUUUUCCCCAGACUUUUAGGAGUCUGAGACCCUGAAUUUAGCUUCAGGGUUCAUUCCUGUCACAUUCAGUAUGAAUAGAACAUCAGCCUAAGCACAGAGAUUAUCCUGAAUAAAGACUUCAUACUCAAGAAUAACCUUAUGAAGGCUGUCAUUUUGUCAAGGCUUUCAGUCUAAAAUAUUACUCUCCAUCAGAAAAUUUCAGGAGGAAGAUUGUGGGAAGAUGAUGGAGCAGGUCAAGAAAUUCCAAAGUCUCUAGAUUUCCCCUACAAACAAAACAAACAAGUUGUGCCUUAGAGUGUAGGUAACAAAUGAAAGUGUGUGAAAAACAAAUAAGUUUUGGGGCACGGCUGGGUCUUCCAAGAUAACUGUUUCCCAGAAGAAAAAUUCCAGGAGGAAGGAUUAACCAAUGUAAAGUGCACACACUUCCAGGCUAACUUCCAGCACCAAGGGGGAGCUAGGGUUAACUGGGUUUAAAGGUAGCCUCAGCCAGAAGCAUAGGAACUCCCACUUUUCCAGCAGUUUAGUUGAGUCAGGCAUCUGAGAAGAGGAAGAUUGAAGGAACCUCUGCUGAUAAGAAAUCAGCUACUGGGUGAGAAGGAACGGGCAUACCCAGUGGGAGUGCUGCCGUGGGACAGGGAAGCUGCCAGCUGCAGGCACAGAGGGGUAGAGUUCUUGGUUUGGGGUUCCAGUCCAGAGAGGAAAAGUAAAGUCCAAGGCAUCGCCUCCCCCAGGUUCCAUGUCACACUGAGAAAAAGAUAUUCCUUUCUGUCCCCAUUCAACAUUCUCCAAAGGGAAAAAACAAAACAGAAAAUGAGAAUGAAAAAUAAUGCAGAUAUCAGCUGCUUUGGGAGAUGAAAAGUGAAAGAAGGGCCAAGAAUACUCAUCACAGGCAAAUGUGAGCAUGGUUCAGAAUAUAGUCUUACACUAUAGACAGAUAAGCAAAGGAAUCCAUAUACUUAACCUGGAUUCUAGAUCUUUCUUAUGUGAUGAAGUCCUUUGCCUACCAAUUAAAUGUCCACAGAACCUGGAAAAUCACAGAAUUUCACAACUGGAAAGGAACUUGGAAGCCAUUUUUCUGAACAUAACACAAAUAAAAUGAAUUUCCAUUUAUGUAGCAAGAAAAAAUAUAAAUGAAACUAUGAAUCUAUUACAUACAACUAGCUUUCCCUUUUAGGUUUAUAAUUCAAGAUGUAGUUUUCAAAGCUGUCCCAUUUAUAUAUCUUCUUCCUUCUGUUCUUUUCUGCUGCCCCUCUUCCCAUAAAACAAUUAGCAAACAAAAAAAUAAGACAACAAAUACACACAAUCCAGCAAUUCCCACAGGAAUUUAGACAAAUUCACUCAUAAUUUGUCCAAAACAGCAUUCUUCACUUUAGAUUUUUAAGUCUAUCCAUCUCUAGUAGUAGUUGGGUGGCAGGAUCUGUUUUCAGAUCUCUGGACUCUUGGAUCACAUUUCAAAGAUACACAUUUUGAAAGGCAAUGUCUCUAUAAAAACCAAUUGAAGACAAUUUGCAAAGGCAAUUUAAGAAUCACAGGUUUCUCAGAAUGUGUCAAAAACCCCCCCCCCAAAACUGAGUUACUUCAUGUAGAAAAUAAUGCAAGAGAGCUGCCCAUAAUUUGUGAAUUCAGAAAACAAGGCACAAUCAAGAAAAUCUAGAUUAUCUCCAGAAAAGCAGAAACAAAACAGUAUAGCAGAGUGGUUAGAAAACUGUACUAAGAGUCAGUCAAUGAAAUAAAGCCCUACCAAAAUGUUAAAUACUCAAAUGAACAAACCCAAAUAGAGAUCUUAUAGAUGCCAAUCAUAGGAAAGGAAAGAGAACUAACUGUAAAAGGAUCACCAAAACUCUUUGUUCAGAUGGACUGGAAAACACAACCAGAUUUUAAAUAAUUUUAAUUAUUCUAUUCAAAUUAUUCUCAGAAGUUGAGAAAACACUCUACUGAUGAGGAAAAUAUAGUUCUACUACCUAA
Molecule: long non-coding RNA, 2183 nt
Organism: Antechinus flavipes (yellow-footed antechinus)
Lineage: Eukaryota; Metazoa; Chordata; Mammalia; Dasyuromorphia; Dasyuridae
Exons: 4
Source: RefSeq, a predicted model, not a curated record